RNAcentral lists this ribosomal RNA (252 nucleotides) under uncultured bacterium. RNAcentral describes it as "partial 16S ribosomal RNA". It matches the Rfam family "Bacterial small subunit ribosomal RNA", at positions 524 to 775 of the family's 1533-position model. The record is from RNAcentral.
UACGUAGGGUGCGAGCGUUAAUCGGAAUUACUGGGCGUAAAGCGUGCGCAGGCGGUUUUUUAAGACAGGCGUGAAAUCCCCGGGCUUAACCUGGGAACUGCGUUUGUGACUGGAAGGCUAGAGUAUGGCAGAGGGGGGUGGAAUUCCACGUGUAGCAGUGAAAUGCGUAGAUAUGCGGAGGAACACCGAUGGCGAAGGCAAUCCCCUGGACCUGUACUGACGCUCAUGCACGAAAGCGUGGGGAGCAACAGG